AGCGAACGCUGGCGGCAGGCUUAACACAUGCAAGUCGAGCGGGCACUUCGGUGUCAGCGGCCGAUGGGUGAGUAACACGUGGGAACGUACCCUUCGGUUCGGAAUAACGCUGGGAAACUAGCGCUAAUACCGGAUACGCCCUUUUGGGGAAAGGUUUACUGCGGAAGGUUCGGCCCGCGUCUGAUUAGCUAGUUGGUGGGGUAAUGGCCUACCAAGGCGACGAUCAGUAGCUGGUCUGAGAGGAUGCUCAGCCACACUGGGACUGAGACACGGCCCAGACUCCUACGCGAGGCAGCAGUGGGGAAUAGUGGACAAUGGGCGCAAGCCUGAUGCAGCCAGGCCGCGUGAGUGAUGAAGGCCUUAGGGUUGUAAAGCUCUUUUGUCCGGGACGAUAAUGACGGUACCGAAAGAAUAAGCCCCGGCUAACUUCGUG
This 433-nucleotide ribosomal RNA is filed under the name uncultured bacterium. Its description in RNAcentral is "partial 16S ribosomal RNA". It matches the Rfam family "Bacterial small subunit ribosomal RNA", at positions 29 to 507 of the family's 1533-position model. The record is from RNAcentral.